This is a non-coding RNA of Xylariaceae sp. FL0594, 83 nucleotides long. NCBI's taxonomy places the organism in Eukaryota, Fungi, Ascomycota, Sordariomycetes, Xylariales, Xylariaceae. The record is from the annotation of a GenBank genome assembly.
UCCGAAUUGGUGUAGUGGCUAACAUUUGACGCUCUCAUUUCAACGGUUCCGUCAAGCCCGGGGUUCGAUUCCCCGAUUCGGAG